RNAcentral lists this transfer RNA (69 nucleotides) under Schedorhinotermes medioobscurus. RNAcentral describes it as "tRNA-Ile". RNAcentral also lists the same sequence under 7 other names. Lineage: Eukaryota; Metazoa; Arthropoda; Insecta; Blattodea; Rhinotermitidae. The record is from RNAcentral.
AAUGAUGAGCCUGAAUAAAGGAAUAUCGUGAUAGGAUAUAAUAUGUAGGGCAUAAACCUACCCUCAUUA